RNAcentral lists this ribosomal RNA (253 nucleotides) under uncultured bacterium. RNAcentral's name for it is "partial 16S ribosomal RNA". It matches the Rfam family "Bacterial small subunit ribosomal RNA", at positions 524 to 776 of the family's 1533-position model. The record is from RNAcentral.
UACGUAGGGGGCAAGCGUUGUCCGGAGUUACUGGGCGUAAAGCGCACGCAGGCGGUCUCUUAAGUUUGGAGUGACAGUUGGUGGCUUAACUGCCAAAGUGCUUCGAAAACUGAGAGACUUGAGGGCUUCAGAGGGACACGGAAUUCCGGGUGGAGUGGUGAAAUGCGUAGAUAUCAGGAGGAACACCUGUGGUGUAGACAGCUUACUGGACCACUUCUGACGCUGAGGCACGAAAGCGUGGGGAGCAAACAGG